UACGGAGGGUGCAAGCGUUAUCCGGAUUCACUGGGUUUAAAGGGUGCGUAGGCGGGCUUAUAAGUCAGUGGUGAAAGCCCGGAGCUUAACUUCGGAACUGCCAUUGAUACUGUAAAUCUUAAGUACACUUGAGGUGGGCGAAAUACAUCAUGUAGUAAUAAAAUACUUAGAUAUGAUGUAGAACACCGAUUGCGAAGGCAGCUCACUAAAUUGUAACUGACGCUGAGGCACGAAAGCGUGGGGAUCAAACAGG
This 253-nucleotide ribosomal RNA is filed under the name uncultured bacterium. RNAcentral's name for it is "partial 16S ribosomal RNA". It matches the Rfam family "Bacterial small subunit ribosomal RNA", at positions 524 to 776 of the family's 1533-position model. The record is from RNAcentral.